GAUGAACGCUGGCGGCGUGCCUAAUACAUGCAAGUCGAGCGAAUGGAUUAAGAGCUUGCUCUUAUGAAGUUAGCGGCGGACGGGUGAGUAACACGUGGGUAACCUGCCCAUAAGACUGGGAUAACUCCGUGAAACCGGGGCUAAUACCGGAUAACAUUUUGAACCGCAUGGUUCGAAAUUGAAAGGCGGCUUCGGCUGUCACUUAUGGAUGGACACGCGUCGCAGUAGCUAGUUGGUGAGGUAACGGCUCACCAAGGCAACGAUGCGUAGCCGACCUGAGAGGGUGAUCGGCCACACUGGGACUGAGACACGGCCCAGACUCCUACGGGAGGCAGCAGUAGGGAAUCUUCCGCAAUGGACGAAAGUCUGACGGAGCAACGCCGCGUGAGUGAUGAAGGCUUUCGGGUCGUAAAACUCUGUUGUUAGGGAAGAACAAGUGCUAGUUGAAUAAGCUGACACCUUGACGGUACCUAACCAGAAAGCCACGGCUAACUACGUGCCAGCCGCCGCGGUAA
This 515-nucleotide ribosomal RNA is filed under the name uncultured bacterium. RNAcentral's name for it is "partial 16S ribosomal RNA". It matches the Rfam family "Bacterial small subunit ribosomal RNA", at positions 28 to 523 of the family's 1533-position model. The record is from RNAcentral.